CGUGUUCCCCUCUGAGCCUGCGCGUUAAGAGUUGCAGUACCAAAAUGCGCAGACGCCAAGUUGGAGGCUACGACUUCAGUUUAGUAAGGAGAUAAAGGCUCCUUAGAAAGUGGGAUCCCAGGCCUUCUCCUACUCUUCAUUGGUUCUCCUGGGACAGAGUUGUCUAACUGACAAGUGAAGCCCACAGGACGGGGUAGCAUCCACAUCCUGUAUCUCACAGCUGCUGAUAACUCCAGGGACACCAGACUGACUGCCUGGAAAUCAGUAUUCUGCUAGAAGCCUUCAGAUGAAG
This 292-nucleotide small RNA is filed under the name Rattus norvegicus (Norway rat). RNAcentral describes it as "uncharacterized LOC102550011". The record is from RNAcentral. Lineage: Eukaryota; Metazoa; Chordata; Mammalia; Rodentia; Muridae.